UACAGAGGGGGCAAGCGUUAUUCGGAAUUAUUGGGCGUAAAGGGCGCGUAGGCGGCUUUGCAAGUGACGGGUGAAAUCCCCCGGCUUAACCGGGGAACUGCGUCCGAUACUGGAUGGCUUGAGUUUGGGAGAGGGAUGCGGAAUUCCAGGUGUAGCGGUGAAAUGCGUAGAUAUCUGGAGGAACACCGGUGGCGAAGGCGGCAUCCUGGACCAACACUGACGCUGAUGAGCGAAAGCCAGGGGAGCAAACGGG
RNAcentral lists this ribosomal RNA (253 nucleotides) under uncultured bacterium. RNAcentral describes it as "partial 16S ribosomal RNA". It matches the Rfam family "Bacterial small subunit ribosomal RNA", at positions 524 to 776 of the family's 1533-position model. The record is from RNAcentral.